AACGCUGGCGGCGUGCUUAACACAUGCAAGUCGAACGAGAAAACAUGAGAAGGUUGCUUCUUAUCAAUGCGAGUGGCAAACGGGUGAGUAACGCGUACGGAACCUGCCCUUCAGAUGGGGACAACAGCUGGAAGCGGCUGCUAAUACCGAAUACGUUCUUUCCGCCGCAUGACGGAAAGAGAAAAGGGAGGUCUUCGGGCUUUCGCUGGAGGAGGGGCUUGCGUCUGAUUAACGAGCUGGAGGGGUAACGACCCACCAAGGCAACGAUCAGUAGACGGGCUGAGAGGAUGAACAGACACAUUGGGACUGACACACGGACCAGACUCCUACGGGAGGCACCCAUGGGGAAUCUUCCGGAAUGGACGACAGUCUGACGGAGCAACAGCCGCGUGAACGAUGACAGUCUUCUGGUUGAAAAGUACUGUUAUAUGGCACGAACAGGACAUCACGUAAUACCCGGUGUCUUUGACCGUACCGUAACAGAAAGCCACGGCUAACUACGUGCCAACAGCCGCGGAAAUACGUACGUGGCAAGCGAUGUCCGGAAUUAUUGGGCGAAGAGGGCGCGCAAGCGGCAUCUCACGUCGGUCUUAAUAGUGCGGAGCUUAAACCCGUGAGGAGACCGAAACUGAGAAGCUCAAUUGUCAGAGAGGAAAGCGGAAUUCAUAGUGUAGCGGUGAAAUAGGUAGAUAUUAGGAGGAUCUCCAGUGGCGAAAGCGUCUUUAUGGACGACAACUGACGAUGAGGCGCGAAAGACAGUGGAGCAAGCGGGAUUAGAUCACGCGGUAGUCCUGUCCGUAUACGAUGGAUAAUAGGUGUAGGAGGUAUGGAGUCGUUCUGUGCCGGAGUUAACGCAAUAAGUAUCCGUCCUGUGGGAGUACGGGCGCAAGGGUGAAACUCAAAGGAAUUGACGGGGGUCCGCACAAGCGGUGGAGUACGUGGUUUAAUUUGACGCAACGCGAAGAACCUUGACAAGCCUUGACAUUGAUUGAUAUGGAAAGAGAUUUCAUGGUUCUUAUUUGGAUGACAAGAAAACAGGUGGUGCACGGCCGUCGUCAUCUUGAGUUGUGAGAUGGUGGAGUUAAGUCUGCAUACGAGCGCAACCCCUAUCUUUUGUUGUCCAGCACCUCGGGUGGGGACUUCAGAACGAGACUGCCGCAGACAAUGCGGAGGAAGGCGGGGAUGACGUCAAGUCAUCAUGCCCCUUAUGGCUUGGGCUACACACGUACUACAAUGGCUCUUAAUAGAGGGAAGCGAAGGAGCGAUCCGGAGCAAACCUCAAAAACAGAGUCCCAGUUCGGAUUGCAGGCUGCAACUCGCCUGCAUGAAGCAGGAAUCGCUAGUAAUCGCAGGUCAGCAUACCGCGGUGAAUACGUUCCCGGGCCUUGUACACACCGCCCGUCACACCACGAAAGUCAUUCACACCCGAAGCCGGUGAGGCAACCGCAAGGAACCAGCCGUCGAAGGUGGGG
This 1472-nucleotide ribosomal RNA is filed under the name uncultured organism. RNAcentral's name for it is "16S ribosomal RNA". It matches the Rfam family "Bacterial small subunit ribosomal RNA". The record is from RNAcentral.